CCGCGACCCCAGGUCAGGCGGGACUACCCGCUGAGC
This 36-nucleotide ribosomal RNA is filed under the name Tiquilia hispidissima. Its description in RNAcentral is "partial 26S ribosomal RNA". RNAcentral also lists the same sequence under 1 other name. The record is from RNAcentral. Lineage: Eukaryota; Viridiplantae; Streptophyta; Magnoliopsida; Boraginales; Ehretiaceae.